GAUGAACGCUGGCGGCGUGCCUAAUACAUGCAAGUCGAGCGAACAGAUGAGGAGCUUGCUCCUCUGACGUUAGCGGCGGACGGGUGAGUAACACGUGGAUAACCUACCUAUAAGACUGGGAUAACUUCGGGAAGCCGGAGCUAAUACCGGAUAAUAUAUUGAACCGCAUGGUUCAAUAGUGAAAGACGGUUUUGCUGUCACUUAUAGAUGGAUCCGCGCCGCAUUAGCUAGUUGGUAAGGUAACGGCUUACCAAGGCAACGAUGCGUAGCCGACCUGAGAGGGUGAUCGGCCACACUGGAACUGAGACACGGUCCAGACGCCUACGGGAGGCAGCAGUAGGGAAUAUUACGCAAUGGGCGAAAGCCUGACGGAGCAACGCCGCGUGGGUGAUGAAGGUCUUCGGAUCGUAAAACUCUGUUAUUAGGAAAGAACAAAUGUGUAAGUGACUAUGCACGUCUUGACGGUACCUAAUCAGAAAGCCACGGCUAACUACGUG
This 497-nucleotide ribosomal RNA is filed under the name uncultured bacterium. Its description in RNAcentral is "partial 16S ribosomal RNA". It matches the Rfam family "Bacterial small subunit ribosomal RNA", at positions 28 to 507 of the family's 1533-position model. The record is from RNAcentral.